UACGAAGGGUGCUAGCGUUGCUCGGAAUUACUGGGCGUAAAGCGCGCGUAGGCGGCGACUCAAGUCAGGGGUGAAAUCCUGGGGCUUAACCCCAGAAUUGCCUUUGAAACUGUGUCGCUAGAGUGUCGGAGGGGAUAGCGGAAUUGCUAAUGUAGAGGUGAAAUUCGUAGAUAUUAGCAGGAACACCGGUGGCGAAGGCGGCUAUCUGGACGACAACUGACGCUGAGGCGCGAAAGCGCGGGGAUCAAACAGG
RNAcentral lists this ribosomal RNA (253 nucleotides) under uncultured bacterium. Its description in RNAcentral is "partial 16S ribosomal RNA". It matches the Rfam family "Bacterial small subunit ribosomal RNA", at positions 524 to 776 of the family's 1533-position model. The record is from RNAcentral.